RNAcentral lists this long non-coding RNA (536 nucleotides) under Marmota monax (woodchuck). The record is from RNAcentral. Lineage: Eukaryota; Metazoa; Chordata; Mammalia; Rodentia; Sciuridae.
ACUGAGGAGGCAGCCCUGCCACACAAUGGUUCUUUAUAAGCCAGUAGAGACUUGCCGUGUAAAAAUGCCAUCAGUCUUUGAAGAUGAAGACUUAACCGCCCAGGUUAAUUUCCCUAAAAUGUCCCAGAGUAAUAAGUUUAAUUAUCAGAUGGAUACUUAAAAUUCUAACACCUUUCCUUAUUGUACCUAGAAUUUUUCAGAGCACGGACAGUAUUAAUUCAUCUUCGUGGUAUUGUGUAUGGUCUUUACAGGUCUGUUAAACUAAAUUAUAAUUUAAAAAUCAGGUUUCUAUGACUUUGUUCUUAACCCCCGUCCCCUCACUGGGCCAUACUGACAGUCACUCAUUCAUUUAAUUCAGCCUUGAUAAAUAUGCUGUGAUGCCCAAUUAUCCUCUCUUCUGGUGUUUAUUCUGCAGACACUAACUGACCCCUGUUUUGUACCAGGCCCUGAACUAGCUGUAAAGGCAGAAGUAAAUGAGACAUGGUUCUUGCCCACAAGGGGCUCAUGGUCUACAGACCGUGUAUAUAGUAAUUGCA